CUUAACCACGAGCAAUUCUACAGUGACUUCAAACACUCUCCAUGCCUCUAUGUUUUUUCCAACCAAUUGAGUUUUGAGAUGCCCAAUUUGUAUCUAAACUCCAGUAGUUUAUGUUCCAUUAUUUCUUGAUGUUUUUAAUAUUGAUUCCUCUUUUUAUCUCAGACGUCGUUGGAUGUAUUGUAAAUUUCACAAAUCGAAAGAAUCGCAGAAAUAUUCCUCAAUGCGAACUGAGCUCAACGGGGGGAACUUGAGAACAGCAUUAAGGAGUCCCUCGAAUUCAGAAGGAAUUUAUUUGGUUGAUCCUCUAACAUAACAAACUCAGGCAAGACUAAGCAGCCAUUGAAGCUAUUGUCCGUGGAGGGGCUAAAAAA
Malus domestica (apple) is the source of this 371-nucleotide non-coding RNA. Lineage: Eukaryota; Viridiplantae; Streptophyta; Magnoliopsida; Rosales; Rosaceae. The record is from RefSeq and is a predicted model, not a curated record.